Molecule: ribosomal RNA, 119 nt
Filed under: Pteropus alecto (black flying fox)
Lineage: Eukaryota; Metazoa; Chordata; Mammalia; Chiroptera; Pteropodidae
Source: RNAcentral
CACUACAGCCAUGCUACCCUGAAUGUGCCCGAUCCUGUCUGAUCUCGGAAGCUAAGCAGGGCUGGGUCUGGUUGGUCCUUGGAUAGGAGACUACCUAGGAAUACCAAGUGCUGUAGGCG